ACUCUAAUAGUUUAUGAA
This 18-nucleotide transfer RNA is filed under the name Pycnonotus goiavier (yellow-vented bulbul). Its description in RNAcentral is "partial tRNA-Thr". The record is from RNAcentral. Lineage: Eukaryota; Metazoa; Chordata; Aves; Passeriformes; Pycnonotidae.